Molecule: ribosomal RNA, 497 nt
Filed under: uncultured bacterium
Lineage: Bacteria
Description: partial 16S ribosomal RNA
Rfam family: Bacterial small subunit ribosomal RNA
Source: RNAcentral
GAUGAACGCUGGCGGCGUGCCUAAUACAUGCAAGUCGAGCGAACGGACGAGAAGCUUGCUUCUCUGAUGUUAGCGGCGUACGGGUGAGUAACACGUGUAUAACCUACCUAUAAGACUGGGAUAACUUCGGGAAACCUGAGCUAAUACCGGAUAAUAUUUUGAACCGCAUGGUUCAAAAGUGAAAGACGGUCUUUCUGUCACUUAUAGAUGGUUCCGCGCUGCAUUAUCUAGUUGGUAAGGUAACGGCUUACCAAGGCAACGAUGCAUAGCCGACCUGAGAGGGUGAUCGGACACACUGGAACUGAGACACGGUCCAGACUCCUACGGGAGGCAGCAGUAGGGAAUCUUCCGCAAUGGGCGAAAGCCUGACGGAGCAACGCCGCGUGAGUGAUGAAGGUCUUCGGAUCGUAAAACUCUGUUAUUAGGGAAGAACAUAUGUGUAAGUAACUGUGCACAUCUUGACGGUACCUAAUCAGAAAGCCACGGCUAACUACGUG